UUCGCCAGGGUACUACGAGCGUUAGCUUAAAACCCAAAGGACUUGGCGGUGCCCCAAACCCACCUAGAGGAGCCUGUUCUAUAAUCGAUACCCCCCGCUUUACCUCACCACUUCUUGUCAAUACCGCCUGUAUACCUCCGUCACCAACCUACCCCUUGAGGGAAAUAAAGUAAGUACAAUGAUAUCUUAUCUAAACGUCAGGUCAAGGUGCAGCGUAUGAAGUGGAAAGAAAUGGGCUACAUUUUCUACAUUAGACUACACGAAAGAUUACUAUGAAAUCUAAUCUGAAGGCGGAUUUAACAGUAAAGAGAAACUAGAGUGUUCUCUUUAAACUGGCCCUGGGGCGCGCACACACCGCCCGUCGCCCUCCUCAAUAACUAAUUAAUAAUCUUUAAUAACAAACCUAAGAAUCAGAGGAGGUAAGUCGUAACAUGGUAAGUAUACCGGAAGGUAUGCUUGGAUUAACAAAGUGUAGCUU
RNAcentral lists this ribosomal RNA (478 nucleotides) under Pelodytes punctatus (parsley frog). RNAcentral describes it as "partial 12S rRNA". It matches the Rfam family "Bacterial small subunit ribosomal RNA", at positions 868 to 1533 of the family's 1533-position model. The record is from RNAcentral. Lineage: Eukaryota; Metazoa; Chordata; Amphibia; Anura; Pelodytidae.